AGGGAAUGUAAAUCCUCCUAGCUGUUACUGGAUUGGCACCAGACAGACUAGGGUGCAGAGUCAAAAGAUCCAUUAGCCAGGUUGGCUGGAUCCGGAUCAAUGCAGCGGGGGUUAUUUUCACCAUAAUAUUCCUAUAUCUAAUUUGGAUAUCUAUCAUUAUUAUUUGUACUGUUUAUAGGUCUGAGGAAGGUCUUCAUUGGACCAAACGUUACCUUGUUUGGAUUGCUUAAUAAAUUUCUCACUGAUGUGUCUACUGA
This is a long non-coding RNA of Hyla sarda, 257 nucleotides long. RefSeq lists it as uncharacterized. The transcript is spliced from 3 exons. Lineage: Eukaryota; Metazoa; Chordata; Amphibia; Anura; Hylidae. The record is from RefSeq and is a predicted model, not a curated record.